UUGGGUCCAUAUAUGUUUUUUUUUACUGAAGGGUCCAUAUAUGUUAUUUAUGUACAUAUAUGUAUGUACCUAUAUAUAUAAAGAUAGUGUAAUUAAUAUUUCAUACUUGCAAGAGCCUCAGGCACUGUAUGAGAAAUGAGGUGGCUCUGUUCCUUCUUCUCUCCCUUGAAGAAACUAUGGGUUCGCGUCAAUUCUGCUCAAAAGAAGAGAAGAGGAUUAUACAUAUUAUACGAGGACGUGAAGUCAUGUCCAUACGAAGAUGUGCAUGUUCUGUGGUCUAUACUCGUGGAGUCUCACCCACACACUUAGCAACCCAAACAAUAAAACUCCAUUCAUUAUUGAUGCGUAGCUUUCGUUUUGGUUCAGCGAGUUUAUAUAUGGAAUGUUCAUGCUCAAGGACGAAACAAAUGAGAAACUUGUUAGCGACAUGAUUCAUAUAUAUGUUUUCUCUCACUUGUACAUAAUAAUAUAAAUACACAGAGAUUCUCUUUCCCAUAAGGUUCAUGUU
Molecule: long non-coding RNA, 508 nt
Organism: Brassica oleracea var. oleracea
Lineage: Eukaryota; Viridiplantae; Streptophyta; Magnoliopsida; Brassicales; Brassicaceae
Exons: 2
Source: RefSeq, a predicted model, not a curated record